UACGUAGGUGGCAAGCGUUGUCCGGAUUUACUGGGCGUAAAGAGCGCGCAGGCGGUCGUGCAAGUCGCGUGUGAAAGCCCCCGGCUCAACUGGGGAGGGUCACGCGAUACUGCUCGACUUGAAGGCAGGAGAGGGAAGCAGAAUUCCCGGUGUAGUGGUGAAAUGCGUAGAUAUCGGGAGGAAUACCAGUGGCGAAGGCGGCUUCCUGGCCUGUUCUUGACGCUGAGGCGCGAAAGCUAGGGUAGCAAACGGG
RNAcentral lists this ribosomal RNA (253 nucleotides) under uncultured bacterium. RNAcentral's name for it is "partial 16S ribosomal RNA". It matches the Rfam family "Bacterial small subunit ribosomal RNA", at positions 524 to 776 of the family's 1533-position model. The record is from RNAcentral.